This 71-nucleotide transfer RNA is filed under the name Dipodomys ordii (Ord's kangaroo rat). It matches the Rfam family "tRNA". Rfam says of the family: Transfer RNA (tRNA) molecules are approximately 80 nucleotides in length. Their secondary structure includes four short double-helical elements and three loops (D, anti-codon, and T loops). Further hydrogen bonds mediate the characteristic L-shaped molecular structure. tRNAs have two regions of fundamental functional importance: the anti-codon, which is responsible for specific mRNA codon recognition, and the 3' end, to which the tRNAs corresponding amino acid is attached (by aminoacyl-tRNA synthetases). tRNAs cope with the degeneracy of the genetic code in two manners: having more than one tRNA (with a specific anti-codon) for a particular amino acid; and 'wobble' base-pairing, i.e. permitting non-standard base-pairing at the 3rd anti-codon position. Lineage: Eukaryota; Metazoa; Chordata; Mammalia; Rodentia; Heteromyidae. The record is from Rfam by way of RNAcentral.
GGCAGUGGCUAAAGUGGUAGAGCGCUUACUUAGCAAGCAUGAGGGCCUGAGUUCAAAUCCCAGUACUGCCA